UUCGGGAAUCUACAUACAGGUGCUGCAUGGCUGUCGUCAGCUCGUGUCGUGAGAUGUUGGGUUAAGUCCCGCAACGAGCGCAACCCUUUUCCUUACUUGCCAGCAUUUCGGAUGGGAACUUUAAGGAUACUGCCAGUGACAAACUGGAGGAAGGCGGGGACGACGUCAAGUCAUCAUGGCCCUUACGGCCAGGGCUACACACGUGCUACAAUGGUCGGUACAAAGGGUUGCUACACAGCGAUGUGAUGCUAAUCUCAAAAAGCCGAUCGUAGUCCGGAUCGCAGUCUGCAACUCGACUGCGUGAAGUCGGAAUCGCUAGUAAUCGCGGAUCAGAAUGCCGCGGUGAAUACGUUCCCGGGCCUUGUACACACCGCCCGUCACACCAUGGGAGUUUGUUGCACCAGAAGUAGGUAGUCUAACCGCAAGGAGGACGCUUACCACGGUGUGGCCGAUGACUGGGGUGAAGUCGUAACAAGGUAGCCGUAGGGGAACCUGCGGCUGGAUCACCUCCUUAA
RNAcentral lists this ribosomal RNA (515 nucleotides) under Myroides marinus. RNAcentral describes it as "bacterial SSU rRNA". It matches the Rfam family "Bacterial small subunit ribosomal RNA", at positions 1019 to 1533 of the family's 1533-position model. Lineage: Bacteria; Pseudomonadati; Bacteroidota; Flavobacteriia; Flavobacteriales; Flavobacteriaceae. The record is from RNAcentral.